GUAGCUUGCUACUUUGCCGGCGAGCGGCGGACGGGUGAGUAAUGUCUGGGAAACUGCCUGAUGGAGGGGGAUAACUACUGGAAACGGUAGCUAAUACCGCAUGACCUCGAAAGAGCAAAGUGGGGGAUCUUCGGACCUCACGCCAUCGGAUGUGCCCAGAUGGGAUUAGCUAGUAGGUGAGGUAAUGGCUCACCUAGGCGACGAUCCCUAGCUGGUCUGAGAGGAUGACCAGCCACACUGGAACUGAGACACGGUCCAGACUCCUACGGGAGGCAGCAGUGGGGAAUAUUGCACAAUGGGCGCAAGCCUGAUGCAGCCAUGCCGCGUGUGUGAAGAAGGCCUUAGGGUUGUAAAGCACUUUCAGCGAGGAGGAAGGCAUCACACUUAAUACGUGUGGUGAUUGACGUUACUCGCAGAAGAAGCACCGGCUAACUCCGUGCCAGCAGCCGCGGUAAUACGGAGGGUGCAAGCGUUAAUCGGAAUUACUGGGCGUAAAGCGCACGCAGGCGGUUUGUUAAGUCAGAUGUGAAAUCCCCGCGCUUAACGUGGGAACUGCAUUUGAAACUGGCAAGCUAGAGUCUUGUAGAGGGGGGUAGAAUUCCAGGUGUAGCGGUGAAAUGCGUAGAGAUCUGGAGGAAUACCGGUGGCGA
Molecule: ribosomal RNA, 650 nt
Filed under: uncultured bacterium
Lineage: Bacteria
Description: bacterial SSU rRNA
Rfam family: Bacterial small subunit ribosomal RNA
Source: RNAcentral